RNAcentral lists this ribosomal RNA (747 nucleotides) under cyanobacterium enrichment culture clone 1_4_1.4.7_F02-T7. Its description in RNAcentral is "bacterial SSU rRNA". It matches the Rfam family "Bacterial small subunit ribosomal RNA", at positions 8 to 798 of the family's 1533-position model. Lineage: Bacteria; Bacillati; Cyanobacteriota. The record is from RNAcentral.
AGAGUUGAUCCUGGCUCAGGAUGAACGCUGGCGGUCUGCUUAACACAUGCAAGUCGAACGGAAUCCUUCGGGAUUUAGUGGCGGACGGGUGAGUAACGCGUGAGAAUCUGCCUUCAGGUUCGGGACAACAGCUGGAAACGGCUGCUAAUACCGGAUGUGCCGAGAGGUGAAAGCUUAAGUGCCUGGAGAUGAGCUCGCGUCUGAUUAGCUAGUAGGAGUGGUAACGGCACCCCUAGGCGACGAUCAGUAGCUGGUCUGAGAGGAUGAUCAGCCACACUGGGACUGAGACACGGCCCAGACUCCUACGGGAGGCAGCAGUGGGGAAUUUUCCGCAAUGGGCGCAAGCCUGACGGAGCAAGACCGCGUGAGGGAAGAAGGUCUGUGGAUUGUAAACCUCUUUUGAUAGGGAAGAAGACAGUGACGGUACCUAUCGAAUCAGCCUCGGCUAACUCCGUGCCAGCAGCCGCGGUAAUACGGAGGAGGCAAGCGUUAUCCGGAAUUAUUGGGCGUAAAGAGUCCGUAGGUGGGUAACCAAGUCAGCUGUUAAAUAGUGAAGCUUAACUUCAUAGAGGCGGCUGAAACUGGUUGUCUAGAGUGUGGUAGGGGUAGAGGGAAUUUCCAGUGUAGCGGUGAAAUGCGUAGAUAUUGGAAAGAACACCGGUGGCGAAAGCGCUCUACUGGGCCUGCACUGACACUGAGGGACGAAAGCUAGGGGAGCGAAAGGGAUUAGAUACCCCUGUAGUCCUA